This 238-nucleotide ribosomal RNA is filed under the name uncultured bacterium. RNAcentral's name for it is "partial 16S ribosomal RNA". It matches the Rfam family "Bacterial small subunit ribosomal RNA", at positions 96 to 334 of the family's 1533-position model. The record is from RNAcentral.
UGGCGGACGGGUGAGUAACGCGUGGGUAACCUGCCUCAUACAGGGGGAUAACAGUUAGAAAUGACUGCUAAUACCGCAUAAGACCACAGCACCGCAUAGUGCAGGGGUAAAAACUCCGGUGGUAUGAGAUGGACCCGCGUCUGAUUAGGUAGUUGGUGGGGUAACGGCCUACCAAGCCGACGAUCAGUAGCCGACCUGAGAGGGUGACCGGCCACAUUGGGACUGAGACACGGCCCAA